This 82-nucleotide transfer RNA is filed under the name Dreissena polymorpha. It matches the Rfam family "tRNA". From Rfam's summary of the family: Transfer RNA (tRNA) molecules are approximately 80 nucleotides in length. Their secondary structure includes four short double-helical elements and three loops (D, anti-codon, and T loops). Lineage: Eukaryota; Metazoa; Mollusca; Bivalvia; Myida; Dreissenidae. The record is from Rfam by way of RNAcentral.
GUUGUCGUGGGCGAGUGGGUAAGGCGAUAAAAUAGAAAUCUUUUAGGAUUUUCCCGCGCAGGUUCGAUUCCUGCCGACAUCG